AAUCCAUGGUGCGGGCAUUUCUAGAUCAUUGUUUUAAAAUGUUCCUGGGCAUCGUGAAAACUUUCCCCUUCCAAUUGUUUAAAAACAACAAUUUCUCUUCUUAGUUG
Gossypium arboreum is the source of this 107-nucleotide non-coding RNA. Lineage: Eukaryota; Viridiplantae; Streptophyta; Magnoliopsida; Malvales; Malvaceae. The record is from Rfam.